UACGUAGGGUGCGAGCGUUACUCGGAAUUACUGGGCGUAAAGCGUGCGCAGGCGGUUUUGUAAGCCGGAUGUGAAAUCCCCGGGCUUAACCUGGGAAUGGCAUUUGGGACUGCAAGGCUCGAGUGCGGCAGAGGAGACUGGAAUUCCUGGUGUAGCAGUGAAAUGCGUAGAUAUCUGGAGGAACACCGGUGGCGAAGGCGGCAUCCUGGACCAAUACUGACACUGAGGAGCGAAAGCCAGGGGAGCAAACGGG
This 253-nucleotide ribosomal RNA is filed under the name uncultured bacterium. Its description in RNAcentral is "partial 16S ribosomal RNA". It matches the Rfam family "Bacterial small subunit ribosomal RNA", at positions 524 to 776 of the family's 1533-position model. The record is from RNAcentral.